GUGCUCACUUCAGCUGUACAUAUACUAAAAUUGGAACAAUACAGAGAAGAUUAGCAUGGCUCCUGCACAAAGAUGACAUGCAAAUUCAUGAAGCAUAUUUUU
Cavia aperea (Brazilian guinea pig) is the source of this 102-nucleotide small nuclear RNA. The record is from Ensembl. Lineage: Eukaryota; Metazoa; Chordata; Mammalia; Rodentia; Caviidae.